AUGGUUAAUUAGGCCCCUAAUUGAUAUGGAGAAAAUGUACACAGCUCGCUGCCAAGAAAGAAGAGGCAGAGUCAUUUACCAUAAAAGAGUGAUAAAAAUAUCCUUCUUCAACAAUAGAAGCAGGAGAAAUUUAUGGCUAUUGAGAAUCUGGUUAAAAUCCAUUCGCUUAUGUAAAAUAAUUUCUCCAGAAGUGGGCUGAGAAAUUG
RNAcentral lists this unclassified non-coding RNA (206 nucleotides) under Hevea brasiliensis (rubber tree). The record is from RNAcentral. Lineage: Eukaryota; Viridiplantae; Streptophyta; Magnoliopsida; Malpighiales; Euphorbiaceae.